CUGCACGAGGCGAGGAAGGACUCUUGACCAACUGUUUAAGUGAAGACUAUUCUUCUGUCGUUCAGCAGCCGAUAGUUCAGCCCCAUUCCUGCAAACAGGAAGACACUAGCAACUAUGAGGAUGAUCCCACAGCCCUGUAGUGCAAGGGCUGGUACUGACUGAAAAACUACAGACCCUACAUGCUCAUGGCUUUUCACUUACAAGCUUGAAAAGGGCUUUAUCGUCAUCUGAUUGACCAGCCCAGAGUGACAUCAUGAAGUGUCUCAUUCAUCUCAUCAGUGCAAGAACACAAACAAAACCCCUGGUGGUCUUCCAGUCUCAAAGCACAAGAGAAAAGAAUGGCUGCUUGUCUUGGAUGGUACUGUAGCUCACCUCCGCCGUACGUGACGGCUAACAUGAUGGAGGAGAUCCAGGACACCUGGCUACUUGUCACAUU
Pundamilia nyererei is the source of this 436-nucleotide long non-coding RNA. RefSeq lists it as uncharacterized. The transcript has 5 exons. Lineage: Eukaryota; Metazoa; Chordata; Actinopteri; Cichliformes; Cichlidae. The record is from RefSeq and is a predicted model, not a curated record.